GACGAACCGUGCAAACGUUGUUCGGAAUCACUGGGCUUAAAGGGCGCGUAGGCGGGUUCUCAAGUCGGUGGUGAAAUCUUGCGGCUCAACCGUAGAAGUGCCGCCGAUACUGGGAGUCUUGAGGGAGGUAGGGGUCGAGGGAACUUCCGGUGGAGCGGUGAAAUGCGUAGAUAUCGGAAGGAACGCCGGUGGCGAAAGCGCUCGACUGGACCUCUUCUGACGCUGAGGCGCGAAAGCCAGGGGAGCAAACGGG
This 253-nucleotide ribosomal RNA is filed under the name uncultured bacterium. RNAcentral's name for it is "partial 16S ribosomal RNA". It matches the Rfam family "Bacterial small subunit ribosomal RNA", at positions 524 to 776 of the family's 1533-position model. The record is from RNAcentral.